AAUCCCGUGAACCAUCGACUCUUUGAACGCAAGUUGCGCCCGAAGCCUAAUGGCCGAGGGCACGCCUGCCUGGGCGUCACGCAUCGCGUCGCCCCUUCCUCGCGCUCCCCGGAGCGGGGGGCGGAGACUGGCCUCCCGUGCGCCCCCGUCGCGCGGCCGGCCC
RNAcentral lists this ribosomal RNA (163 nucleotides) under Anisotes ukambensis. RNAcentral describes it as "5.8S ribosomal RNA". The stretch from base 1 to 79 matches the Rfam family "5.8S ribosomal RNA", at positions 78 to 154 of the family's 154-position model. The record is from RNAcentral. Lineage: Eukaryota; Viridiplantae; Streptophyta; Magnoliopsida; Lamiales; Acanthaceae.